Molecule: ribosomal RNA, 986 nt
Filed under: uncultured bacterium
Lineage: Bacteria
Description: bacterial SSU rRNA
Rfam family: Bacterial small subunit ribosomal RNA
Source: RNAcentral
AGUCGAGGGGUAACAGUUCCAAGCAAUUGGAAGCUGACGACCGGCGCACGGGUGCGUAACGCGUAUGCAACCCACCUUUAACAGGAGGAUAGCCCGGAGAAAUCCGGAUUAAUACUCCAUAAUAUCUACUAAUGGCAUCAUUUAUAGAUUAAAAUUUCGAUGGUUAAAGAUGGGCAUGCGUGACAUUAGCUAGUUGGUGAGGUAAUGGCUCACCAAGGCCACGAUGUCUAGGGGUUCUGAGAGGAUUGUCCCCCACACUGGUACUGAGACACGGACCAGACUCCUACGGGAGGCAGCAGUGAGGAAUAUUGGUCAAUGGGCGUAAGCCUGAACCAGCCAUGCCGCGUGCAGGAUGACGGCCCUAUGGGUUGUAAACUGCUUUUAUAUGGGAAGAACUCCCCGUACGUGUACGGGGCUGACUGUACCAUUUGAAUAAGCACCGGCUAACUCCGUGCCAGCAGCCGCGGUAAUACGGAGGGUGCAAGCGUUAUCCGGAUUUAUUGGGUUUAAAGGGUGCGCAGGCGGAAUAGUAAGUCAGUGGUGAAAUCCCCCGGCCCAACCGGGGAACUGCCAUUGAUACUGCUAAUCUAGAGUUUAGUUGAAGUAGGCGGAAUGUAGCAUGUAGCGGUGAAAUGCAUAGAUAUGCUACAGAACGCCGAUUGCGAAGGCAGCUCACUAAUCUAAAACUGACGCUCAGGCACGAAAGCGUGGGGAUCAAACAGGAUUAGAUACCCUGGUAGUCCACGCUGUAAACGAUGAUCACUCGUUGUUGGCAAUAUAUCGUCAGCGACUGAGCGAAAGUAUUAAGUGAUCCACCCGGGAAGUACGAUCGCAAGGUUGAAACUCAAAGGAAUUGACGGGGGCCCGCACAAGCGGUGGAGCAUGUGGUUUAAUUCGAUGAUACGCGAGGAACCUUACCUGGGCUUAAAUGUAGGACGCUUGUCCCCGAAAGGGGAUUUUCCUUCGGACGUCUUACAGUGCUGCAU